ACGUAGGUGACGAGCGUUGUUCGGAUUUAUUGGGCGUAAAGGGUUCGUAGGAUGUUUAUUAAGAUUGGUGUGAAAUCCCAAGGCUCAACCUUGGAACUGCAUUGAUUACUGUUGAACUAGAGUAUCGGAGAGGAAAAUGGAAUUCCAGGUGUAGGGGUGAAAUGCGUAGAGAUCAGUAGGAACACCGACAGCGAAGGCGACCUACUGGAACAUUAUUGACGCUGAGGUGCGAAAGCGUGGGGAGCAAACAG
This 251-nucleotide ribosomal RNA is filed under the name uncultured prokaryote. Its description in RNAcentral is "partial 16S rRNA". It matches the Rfam family "Bacterial small subunit ribosomal RNA", at positions 525 to 775 of the family's 1533-position model. The record is from RNAcentral.